GACGAACGCUGGCGGCGUGGAUUAGGCAUGCAAGUCGAACGGUAUCAUCCUUUCGGGGGUGAGAGAGUGGCGAACUGGUGAGUAACACGUAGGUUAUCUACCCUCAAGACGGGGACAACCCAGGGAAACUUGGGCUAAUACCGGAUGUGAGCAACUUUUAGUUGUUUGAAAGGUGGCGUAAGCUGUCGCUUGGGGAUGAGCCUGCGUCCUAUUAGUUAGUUGGUGAGGUAACGGCUCACCUAGGCAAUGAUAGGUAGGCGGCCUUAACGGGUGGUCGCCCACACUGGGAUUGAGAUACGGCCCAGACUCCUACGGGAGGCAGCAGUCGAGAAUAGUCUACAAUGGUCGGAAGACUGAUAGUGCGACGCCGCGUUGAACGAUGAAAUCCCCUUCGGGGGUGUAAAGUUCUUUUCUAUACGAGCAGUGCUAUAUAUAUGGAUAGUAUAUAUAGAGGGAUAGUAGUAUAGGAAUAAGCAAACGGGCUAAACUCCCGUGCCCAGGCAGCCGCGGUUAAAGCUU
This 519-nucleotide ribosomal RNA is filed under the name uncultured bacterium. Its description in RNAcentral is "bacterial SSU rRNA". It matches the Rfam family "Bacterial small subunit ribosomal RNA", at positions 28 to 532 of the family's 1533-position model. The record is from RNAcentral.